GGAUUUAUUGGGCGUAAAGCGAGCGCAGGCGGUUUGAUAAGUCUGAAGUUAAAGGCUGUGGCUCANCCAUAGUUCGCUUUGGAAACUGUCAAACUUGAGUGCAGAAGGGGAGAGUGGAAUUCCAUGUGUAGCGGUGAAAUGCGUAGAUAUAUGGAGGAACGCCGGUGGCGAAAGCGGCUCUCUGGUCUGUAACUGACGCUGAGGCUCGAAAGCGUGGGGAGCGAACAGGAUUAGAUACCCUGGUAGUCCACGCCGUAAACGAUGAGUGCUAGGUGUUGGGUCCUUUCCGGGAUUCAGUGCCGCAGCUAACGCAUUAAGCACUCCGCCUGGGGAGUACGACCGCAAGGUUGAAACUCAAAGGAAUUGACGGGGGCCCGCACAAGCGGCGGAGCAUGUGGUUUAAUUCGAAGCAACGCGAAGAACCUUACCAGGUCUUGACAUCCCGAUGCUAUUUCUAGAGAUAGGAAGUUACUUCGGUACAUCGGUGACAGGUGGUGUAUGGUUGUCGUCAGCUCGUGUCGUGAGAUGUUGGGUUAAGUCCCGCAACGAGCGCAACCCCUAUUGUUAGUUGCCAUCAUUCAGUUGGGCACUCUAGCGAGACUGCCGGUAAUAAACCGGAGGAAGGUGGGGAUGACGUCAAAUCAUCAUGCCCCUUAUGACCUGGGCUACACACGUGCUACAAUGGUUGGUACAACGAGUUGCGAGUCGGUGACGGCGAGCUAAUCUCUUAAAGCCAAUCUCAGUUCGGAUUGUAGGCUGCAACUCGCCUACAUGGAGUCGGAAUCGCUAGUAAUCGCGGAUCAGCACGCCGCGGUGAAUACGUUCCCGGGCCUUGUACACNCCGCCCGUCACACCACGAGAGUUUGUAACACCC
RNAcentral lists this ribosomal RNA (874 nucleotides) under uncultured bacterium. Its description in RNAcentral is "bacterial SSU rRNA". It matches the Rfam family "Bacterial small subunit ribosomal RNA", at positions 547 to 1422 of the family's 1533-position model. The record is from RNAcentral.